AACUUUAAUUGAGACGAUGACAAGGACGAGCUCACAUGAACCCAACCAGAUAAUUUGUGGGCCCCGACCCAACGAGCGAAUGAACUCGGAAGAAAGUCUAAAAGAGAAUAACUAGGAUGAAAUUUACCUAACUUAAAAAAAAAAGAAGAUUCCACCCACUUAGACAAAUUACCCACGUACCUUGUCUCUUUCCCUCUCCCUCUCACACACAGACACAAAGAAGAGAGAAGAAAGAGGCGGCUUUUGAAUCUGACUACUCCGGAAUGGGUGAUAAUUAAUGAGAGUCAUCACGGAACGACGACAAAAACAAAAAAAAUAAUUAUAUAUUUUUUUUCUUUCAACCCUAGCCAGUCACACUAAUAACUACGCUUUUUGGGUCCUAUCUGAUUAGAUCUAUGCUGGGUCCUAAAUCAUGAAUUUCUUCUCAGAUGGACGUGGCUUCAACGAUCAAGGCCCAUUUUCUCAUCCUGAUUUCUCCCAUCAGCAAAGAAGCACCACUAAUAGUAGUGAUAUGGCAGAUGAAGUGGGUGAAAGUAACACGAUUGAACGAGAACACAUGUUCGACAAGGUAGUCACUCCCAGUGACGUCGGCAAGCUCAAUCGGUUAGUCAUCCCCAAACAGCACGCAGAAAAGUAUUUUCCUCUGGAUUCCUCUACCAACGAGAAAGGCCUCCUUCUCAAUUUCGAAGACACGAACGGAAAGCCUUGGCGCUUCAGGUAUUCCUAUUGGAAUAGCAGUCAAAGCUAUGUAAUGACCAAAGGUUGGAGCCGCUUCGUCAAGGAGAAGAAGCUCGAUGCUGGGGAUAUUGUCUCAUUUCAGCGUGGAGUCGGUGAAUUGGGCAAGGAUCGUCUCUUCAUCGACUGGAAGCGCCGUCCAAACGCCCCCGAUCAUCUCCACUUCAUGACUAAUCAUCAUCUCCAUAAUAACUUGUACCGCUCUAAUAUUCAGUACCCAGCUGCUGCUUGGGAUCGUCCUCUCUUUUUGCAGCCUCCUGACCAAUCACAUUUACAAUAUUCCCUGGAACCUGCACCUGGCAGCAUGUCUCAGCAACAACAAUCUCACGGAUCCAGUCCUAAUUAUUACUAUGACACUUGUAAUUUCAUCAACAGCCGUACAACCGUGGUAAAUGGAAACCCUUGUCCGAGCGGAUCAGUAGUUUAUCUCAGAUCGGGGUCAGCCCAAGUUCCACAGCAGGCUGGGUUAAUGCAAUUAAGAGGUCACAGUAAUAGUAGUACUAGUGGCAGGGUUGUGGAGCCAGUGGUGUUCGACUCCGUACCAGUUGUUCAAGGCAAGGCAGCAGCAAAGCGAUUCAGGUUGUUCGGUGUGAAUAUGGACUGUCCCAUCUCAGACUCAUGUGAAAUCACGUCCUCAUCUUCUUCCUUGCCUAAUCCCGCAGCUACAACAACUUAUUCUCAUGUCCCCCAAUUUUCAUCAUUAUCAUUCAGGACUUUUAACGACUAUGAUACCAACCGGCCGGCAGCCACCGAAGAAGAAUCAUUUGACAAAGGUUCUUGUUCUUGUCGCUGCUUCACUGGGCACGCCCCCCAGGUACUGCGGUUGCUUCAGAUCUAGCUAGCUAGCUAGCUAGCUAGCUUUUAUAAAAGGGUUUGUCAUCUGAUCGAUUUUGAGCUUGGAUAUACAUACAAGAUUUUGCUGGUUUGAUAUUCCAAGUAAUUAAGCAUCUGUCUUAGUUUCCGUGAGGAUAUAUAAAUGAUGUCAAAAGGUACAAAGCACCUGACCUUUUCAAAGCAUUACAAGAAAAGAAUGAACAGUGUUCAAUCUCCACAAAUUGGAUCUCUGUUGAAAGCAUAACACAAAUUACAUAUUCAGAAAUGUGCAUACUUUAUCUGUAUUUCCAUUUAGGUAUAUUUGCAUGAAGAAUUGAACUUUUUUGGGCAUAUAUAUCUCUUUCUUCAAUUGUGUUUGGUUCUUUGAUCCAAUGUUAGUUUGAUAAAGGUUCCUUUCCUCGCUAGCAAACACCCAGUGCACUUUAACCCUGACCAGUGUACUGUACCGAAAUAGUUAUACUCUAUAAAUUUUUAGGCAUGGUCAUCCAAAUUGUCAUAGCUAUACGCUACCUUCAAAAAUGUAUAUAGUGAGCCCACCUUAAACAUAUCAUGUAAAUUCAACGAGAGAAGUAAUUAUAUAUAGAUGGCUCUAUUUAUGAAGGAGAGAGAGAGAAAAGAAUUUGAGGAGUAAGUCUAAAGCAUUUUUCUUACACACAUGUACCUUUUCGGCUAGGUUUAUAAUGGAUUUAACUCCUCUCCAUUACUUACCCUUUCUAUUUCCUCAAGUAUACACUUGGAUUGGAAAUAAUGUGUCAUGAUUAAAAACUAAAGGUGGAAAUUUUAAAAAAACAAAUAGAUCUUCAGCUUUAGUUUUUAAUUAUGACACAUGACUUCCAUCCAAGUGUAUAUUUGAGGAAAUAGAGAGAAUAAGUAAUCCGUUUUUGACGGGGCUAGUUAAAAGUUUCUAGUUUACUGGAAGGUCAUAUCAAUACGAUGAUAGAGAGAUUUUGAUCUCAAGUAAAAAAAUUAGCCCUUUUUCUUUAGUAUCAUCAAGUAUAAAUUUAUAUCAUAUGUAAAUUUAUUUCCAAACUUAGUUCUAUCCUUCGUCUUCAAGAGGAAUUUGAUCAUCCUAUGAAAGUGACAAGCCAGAAAGAUGUUAGGUGUAGAGUGCUACUCUACUAAUUAACUCAUACCAUCAACUUUAAUUAAUUACAUAUAUACAUAGAUGUCUUGACUGCAUCAAAAGGUGGUUUCUCAUUUUAAGUGCAUUCAAAAAACACCAUAUAUGCCUAUUUCUUGUUAGACUAAUGAUGUACACCAUAACUUGUGUUUUGACAUUUGUCAUAAUUGCAUUGGCUAAAGGAAGCACAAAUGCCUUCAUUCUCUAACGGUCUCUCAUGUACUCUGGUUUUCAACUACAUCUGCAAUGUUCAAUCUAUAUUUUCUGGAUGUGCAAAAUUUGUUAAUUAUGGUCACAUCAAACAUUGUUGUUAAUUCAAAUCUCAUUUUCAUUUUUCUGUUUAAAGAAAAACAAGGUCUAAACUACAUAUAUUCUUUAAGUCAUUUCGUUGGUUGUACCAUUGUUGAUAACUUUAUCUGACAAACAACUAUGACAUGUAGUCGUAAAUAGAGAAUAAAAUAGGGGUUUGUGGA
Molecule: RNA transcript, 3162 nt
Organism: Solanum lycopersicum (tomato)
Lineage: Eukaryota; Viridiplantae; Streptophyta; Magnoliopsida; Solanales; Solanaceae
Gene name: B3 domain-containing transcription factor NGA1-like
Source: RefSeq, a predicted model, not a curated record